RNAcentral lists this ribosomal RNA (460 nucleotides) under uncultured bacterium. RNAcentral's name for it is "partial 16S ribosomal RNA". It matches the Rfam family "Bacterial small subunit ribosomal RNA", at positions 338 to 795 of the family's 1533-position model. The record is from RNAcentral.
CCUACGGGUGGCAGCAGUGAGGAAUAUUGGUCAAUGGACGAGAGUCUGAACCAGCCAAGUCGCGUGAAGGAUGACUGCCCUAUGGGUUGUAAACUUCUUUUAUAUGGGAAUAAAAUGUUCCACGUGUGGGCUUUUGUAUGUACCCUAUGAAUAAGGAUCGGCUAACCCCGUGCCAGCAGCCGCGGUAAUACGGAGGAUCCGAGCGUUAUCCGGAUUUAUUGGGUUUAAAGGGAGCGUAGGUGGAUUGUUAAGUCAGUUGUGAAAGUUUGCGGCUCAACCGUAAAAUUGCAGUUGAAACUGGCAGUCUUGAGUACAGGAGAGGUGGGCGGAAUUCGUGGUGUAGCGGUGAAAUGCUUAGAUAUCACGAAGAACUCCGAUUGCGAAGGCAGCUCACUGGACUGCAACUGACACUGAGGCUCGAAAGUGUGGAUAUCAAACAGGAUUAGAUACCCCUGUAGUC